This 498-nucleotide ribosomal RNA is filed under the name uncultured bacterium. RNAcentral describes it as "bacterial SSU rRNA". It matches the Rfam family "Bacterial small subunit ribosomal RNA", at positions 28 to 526 of the family's 1533-position model. The record is from RNAcentral.
GACGAACGCUGGCGGCGUGCCUAACACAUGCAAGUGGAGCGACGAACCGGGGCUUGCCCCGGGGCAGAGCCGCGAACGGGUGAGUAACACGUGGGUUACCUGCCCCGAUGACCGGGACAACCCGUCGAAAGACGGGCUAAUACCGGAUGUGCCCCUUGGGGGAAAGGAAGCUUCGGCCUCCGCAUCGGGAUGGGCCCGCGGCGCAUUAGCUUGUUGGUGGGGUAAUGGCUUACCAAGGCGACGAUGCGUAGCUGGUCUGAGAGGACGAUCAGCCACACUGGGACUGAGACACGGCCCAGACUCCUACGGGAGGCAGCAGUGGGGAAUCUUGCACAAUGCGCGAAAGCGUGAUGCAGCAACGCCGCGUGCGGGAAGAAGGCCUUAGGGUUGUAAACCGCUUUCAGUUGGGACGAAGCUUCAGUGGUUAAUAGCUGUUUGGAGUGACGGUACCUUCAGAAGAAGCGCCGGCUAACUACGUGCCAGCAGCCGCAGUAACAC